GACGAACGCUGGCGGCGUGCUUAACACAUGCAAGUCGAACGGAAAGGCCCUGCUUUUGUGGGGUGCUCGAGUGGCGAACGGGUGAGUAACACGUGAGUAACCUGCCCUUGACUUUGGGAUAACUUCAGGAAACUGGGGCUAAUACCGGAUAGGAUCUCCUGCUGCAUGGUGGGGGUUGGAAAGUUUCGGCGGUUGGGGAUGGACUCGCGGCUUAUCCGCUUGUUGGUGGGGUAGUGGCUUACCAAGGCUUUGACGGGUAGCCGGCCUGAGAGGGUGACCGGCGACAUUGGGACUGAGAUACGGACCAGACGCCUACGGGAGGCAGCAGUGGGGAGUAUUGCACAAUGGGCGGAAGCGUGAUGCAGAAACGCCGCGUGCGGGAUGACGGCCUUCGGGUUGUAAACCGCUUUCGCCUGUGACGAAGCGUGAGUGACGGUAAUGGGUAAAGAAGCACCGGCUAACUACGUG
Molecule: ribosomal RNA, 468 nt
Filed under: uncultured bacterium
Lineage: Bacteria
Description: partial 16S ribosomal RNA
Rfam family: Bacterial small subunit ribosomal RNA
Source: RNAcentral